Molecule: long non-coding RNA, 3140 nt
Organism: Columba livia (rock pigeon)
Lineage: Eukaryota; Metazoa; Chordata; Aves; Columbiformes; Columbidae
Exons: 3
Source: RefSeq, a predicted model, not a curated record
CGGGGCUGGAACCCGGGAGUCGCCGGCCGCAGCCCCGAGAUCUCGUCCCGGGCUAGAAGGGGCCGCCUGGGAGCUGGGUGAGAAGGAAUGAGGGGCUGGGAGCACAGACACCCCGGGAAACUGCCCCAGUUGGGACAAGGAAGCUGGAGACCCGUUGGCAGCCAUCCUUCUGCUUUCCAUGGCCAGGCACCUGUGCCGCACUGAGCUGCUCUCAGCAUGUCCCCGGAGAGGUGACCGUGCGUGGCAGGGACGACCUGCCAGCUGCAAAGUAAGAGCCACAAACACCCCGUUUCCUUCUGUGCCAUGGCCUUUUGCAAACACAGCCCAGGAAAAAUCACACCCCAGCUGCCAAAGGGGCUUGGAUACAUUGGUUUCAGGGGACAAGCUGCAAAUGGCAGGGUUUCCCUCCUGGGGACAGUGGGGUGGCUGCUGGUGGGACCUGCUCCCCGCUGGUGCUGGGUUGAGGACCUUCUACGGCUGCAUGAGCUGGCCUAGGGAGCCAGGACCCAUGUCAGAAGAAGGUCUCUGCCUCCUAUAGCCCCUGUAUUUCCUCUAGCCAAAGGGAUGGGGAACCUAAAGCCACAUGAACGCUCACAUUGAACUAACACAUGCAGCACAGGUUGCAGAGCUGAGUCUAGAGCCAAGAUCCACCAGCAAGAGAGUGAAGGUUUGUCUCAGUGCCAGGGUGUGGGCGCAUCACCCCCAGAGCUGGGAGCAACACGCGUGUGGGUGCACCCAUAGCCAUCCUAGAGCACCAAGGCUACCUGUGCCCCAAGGGAAGAGUCGGCUUGAGCCGAAGAUGAGCCCAGUUUUCCAGCUGAGUGCACCAUGCCUACCCAUAACCUAUAUCUGACCUUCUCAUGAGAAGCACUCUCAGAUGCCUUAACAACAGCCCUGAUGACUCACUGCUUGGGGGCUGAUAUGAGGAUGUGAAUGCGAUGAUCCUGCUUUUUCUCCAAGGGCCAGAUGCCAUUUUUCCAUCACGGAUCCACCUCUCCUUGGACUUUUCCUCUUGGAACUUCUUUCUCCCAUAAACUGCACGAAGGCGUUUCACUCCCCCCGCCGCUGACGGGUCUCAUGCCAAAGACCAUAAAAAAGGCCAAAACUUGAAACUAAGCGCUUGAACAGUAUCUUCAGGUGACCAUAACAGCAUCUUCAGGUGACUGUAACAGCAUCUUCAGGUGACCGGUAACAGCAUCUUCCAGGUGACCGUAACAGCAUCUUCAGGUGACUGUAACAGCAUCUUCAGGUGACUUGUAACAGCAUCUUCAGAUGACUGGUAACAGCAUCUUCAGGUGACCGGUAACAGCAUCUUCCAGGUGACCGUAACAGCAUCUUCAGGUGACUGUAACAGCAUCUUGCCUGGAACCGCGCGGGCUCCUGGCGCCACCUGGUGCCCAUUUUCCCGGUCCCAGUGCUUACGGGGAGCGAGCGGCUUCGAUUUUGGAGAGGGGCUCCUCUCCCAGGAAAGUGAGCAUGGCCAGAGCCCACAUCAGCUUUCGGUUCCUCCUUCCCCCUCUCUUUUUUCGGGUGAAGCACAAAGCCUGCGGCUCCUGCCCAGUCCUCACCUUCUCCUCUUGGCAUCUCUGCUGCCGCUAGCAGCCUCUCUCUUAAUUUUAAUGCCUCUCCUUGAUGGUAGAGCCCCCCCAGGGGUGUUUCAGACCUGACACUGUGACGUACAGCCCUGGUAUGUCAGGUGUUGAGGGGAAGGUGCUGCCUGCAUUGCUAUGGAAGAAGGAAAAGCAGUGUCCACAAAGGGCAGGAGGGCAGCAAGUCUGACAGACAGCCCUGCUGAGGGGACCAAGGGGAGAGAACAGUCAGCAAAGAGCAUGGAAAGGGUAAUCCAUAAACUUGGGGCAUUUGCUGGAGGCCAGGCCUGACUCAUUAACAGCAUCUGGGCCUGGGUCCAUCGAAGAAACUAAUUCUGCGCUGCAGGGGCAGCAGGCUGAGGUUUCCGCGAGGGAAACAGCAGCACCGCGCUCAGCGUCCAGCACAGCAGCGCGUUCCCCUGGGCGGCUGUGCAGCCCAUCCUCUGUCAGUAGGUCGCCCACAGAAGGAGCUGCUGCUCUCCACGGUGAACCGACACUUGGCCAGUGUCUACCCCGCGUCCGCACCGACGGCUGCCGCCUCAUGUUUGCUUUCCCAGCUGUCCUUUGUAGGCAAAUGGAUUUGUGCGGCCCCAGCAAAUCUCAUCAUUUGAGUUCCCCAGAGACACUUUUUCAGCUGAUUAUUGUUUUUUUUUAUUCCCCAGCAGCCGUGGCUCCUGGAGUCCCGUGAUUGUCUGAUCGCUUCCGUGUGAGCUGAACCCAGUCAAAGCAGAUUUUCCCUCUGCUGUGAAAGGGCUGGAUUGAAAUAGUCCGCACCGAUGUAAAAAGGUCCUUACAGCUUCCAAGUGUGACCCUUGAAAACCUGCAAAGCGGCAAGCAAAAGGAACUCAGCCCCAUGUUUUGUAGAAAGGAGGAGGGAGAAGGUGAGAAUGGGGAAAGCGUUGCCAUUCACUUAGGAGCGAAUGCACGGAAAAGGAGGAAUGUAACCUGAGCAAUGCCCAGUUUUGUUCCCUGAGGACAGAACCAUUCUCCACGUCACACCAAAAAUUACGAUGCAAGAGAGACCCUCCACACACAGGGUCCCCACGCGUGCACUGGCUGUCCCCAUACGAAUGAAGGGCCAGACCUGCCCGUGCUGUUUGGUGUUUGCUUUGGAAAAUGCACACGCGGCUCGGCAGCGCGUUCUCCGGGGUGCGUGUGAAAUGCCCUGCCUACCCCGGUGCUGGAGAGAGUCUCGGUUCUCCGCGAGCAGCCCAGGUCGUCUGCCAUGAACCUCCAUAGGCAAGCCAGGGAAGGGCAGGGGAGCGCCUCUCCGGGCUGCUGGGAGCUGCUUCUCUGCUGCAGCAGCAGCGGGGAACCAAAGCUGACCUGAAAUCUGCCUCUUUCGCUUUAUCAGACUUGCUUUUCUUGGUAUUUCUGAUAUAUAUAUAUAUAUAUAUAUAUAUAUUUUAAGUCUGUUACUAAAUUUUCUUUAUUAUCUUCCUGGGUAACCUAGAUGUAUAUUACUAAUAUUUUGAGCGUGUUUUUGGACAGAAGCAGGAUUAAAAAAAAAAAAAUAGACUUGCUUCUCCUUUCCAUUUACAGAAAGAAAGC